UGCUUAUCUCACUGAAGAGAUAUCAAACUUCUGCUCCAAUUACUUUCAGCCCUCAGUUGACACAAAAACACGAGAUCUAGGUCGAAAUGUGAAUGCUGAUGUGGAAUCCCCGGCUGACAACGAUGAAAUCCCAGAGCUGUUCACGGUGGAUAAGGGUCGUGUGUCAAAUUUGGGUAAAACUCGGUAUUUAGAUGACAAGGAACUCGAACGUGCUCAUUUGUUCGUUUUAAGAAAUACCGGCAUUCUUGGUGAAUACGAAAGGCAGUUUGAGGACUACAUUCUUAGUACUCGAACUUAUUUGCGUCGAGAAGAUGUCAUGGAGAAAUGCGAAAGUGAAUUCCCUGAUUGGUUUCAUCACAAGGUGAGAGAACAAAAACCAAGUUCCGAUGUGUUGUGAGCAUUGUCUAUGAGGCCUUUCAAGCGUGUUCGAACUUGGAACCAGAUAUUUGUCGGUGGCUUUAAUUUCCACACACAGUCCUAUGGAAAACACAAAUCUACGAUGAAUUACGGGGUGUGUGUCUCAAGUGAGGACGGUGGAGAGUACACUCCUUUGGCAUUUUAAACGGCAUAAUUGAACUUGUCUACACCAGUCCCGAAAAAGAGUACAAGACUAUUUUGUUUAGUUGUAGUUGGAUGGAUUGUGGUAAAGGAAUGAACAUUCAUGAAGAAUACAAGCUUGUCGAAGUAAAUCAUACUAAGAAGUAUCCCAAGUAUGAUCCAUUUGUCUUAUCUUACCAAGUGUCUCAAGUGUAUUAUGCAUCUUACCCUAGCCUUAAACGUGAUCGGGUUCAAUGGUGGGCUGUAUUUAGAACUCAAGCAAGGUCGGUGAUUGAUGCUCCAGUGGAUUUAGAGUUUUUGCAGGGUCCUUCCCCACAAGUACAUGCAACGCUUUGUCCACCAAAUGACAUUCCAGACUAUGAACUUGAU
Chenopodium quinoa (quinoa) is the source of this 927-nucleotide long non-coding RNA. RefSeq lists it as uncharacterized. NCBI's taxonomy places the organism in Eukaryota, Viridiplantae, Streptophyta, Magnoliopsida, Caryophyllales, Amaranthaceae. The record is from RefSeq and is a predicted model, not a curated record. The transcript is spliced from 3 exons.